Molecule: ribosomal RNA, 469 nt
Filed under: uncultured bacterium
Lineage: Bacteria
Description: partial 16S ribosomal RNA
Rfam family: Bacterial small subunit ribosomal RNA
Source: RNAcentral
GACGAACGCUGGCGGCGUGCUUAACACAUGCAAGUCGAACGGAAAGGCCCUGCUUUUGUGGGGUGCUCGAGUGGCGAACGGGUGAGUAACACGUGAGUAACCUGCCCUUGACUUUGGGAUAACUUCAGGGAAACUGGGGCUAAUACCGGAUAGGAGCUCCUGCUGCAUGGUGGGGGUUGGAAAGUUUCGGCGGUUGGGGAUGGACUCGCGGCUUAUCAGCUUGUUGGUGGGGUAGUGGCUUACCAAGGCUUUGACGGGUAGCCGGCCUGAGAGGGUGACCGGCCACAAUGGGACUACGAUACGGCCCAGACUGCAACGGGAGGCAGCAGUGGGGAAUAUUACACAAUGGGCGGAAGCCUGAUGCGGCAACGCCGCGUGCGGGAUGACGGCCUUCGGGUUGUAAACCGCUUUCGCCUGUGACGAAGCGUGAGUGACGGUAAUGGGUAAAGAAGCACCGGCUAACUACGUG